GGUGAGGUGUCCGAGUGGCCGAAGGAGCACGCCUGGAAAGUGUGUAAGCCGUAAGGCUUCGAGAGUUCGAAUCUCUCCCUCACCGCCA
RNAcentral lists this transfer RNA (88 nucleotides) under Gammaproteobacteria bacterium. Its description in RNAcentral is "tRNA-Ser". It matches the Rfam family "tRNA". From Rfam's summary of the family: Transfer RNA (tRNA) molecules are approximately 80 nucleotides in length. Their secondary structure includes four short double-helical elements and three loops (D, anti-codon, and T loops). RNAcentral also lists the same sequence under 2 other names. The record is from RNAcentral. Lineage: Bacteria; Pseudomonadati; Pseudomonadota; Gammaproteobacteria.